AAAACCACUAAAUCACCAAAAACAUAAUAAAACAUCAAUAUAAACUCAUAGAUUAUGUAAAAGAAAACUGUUAUCCCAUUUGAAUAUUUUAAGAAACAAACCAAAGUUUUUUCGAAUAAAUGUUGAAAUGGGUAUAAAAGAACACACCUUACCACCAAGACAAAUAAAUUUCAUAUCAACUUAUCUCUUUCUUAUCUCUUUCUUUUCGACUCUAACUCGCACAAUACAAUGAUAGGAGAUUCCUUAAUCGGUCAAAUUUAUUACAUAUUGAUUGAAAUUGGACCUUUGGAGUGCUUUUGCGGUUUAUCCCAAUAGGUUUCGUUUAUUAAUUGCAUUUAAGAACCGAACUUAUUAUUGUAUUAUUAUAAUUAAUUGUGAUUAUAUUCUCAUUUAAUUAUUUUUUUAUUUUUUAAUAUUAAUGUAGAAAGACUAUUUCACCCCUUACUAACAUCAUUAAGUUGUUGUACCAUAAGUAUAAAAGAUUGUAAUUACUUAAAUUUGGUUGGUAUCCUUAUGAAAUGCUUUAUAAUAUAGUAUAGAUAGAUAGAUAGAUAUAGAUAUAGAUAAUUAUUUUUUUUAUUUUUUAAUAUUAAUGUA
This 597-nucleotide long non-coding RNA is filed under the name Helianthus annuus (common sunflower). Its description in RNAcentral is "sRNA HanXRQr2_Chr13g0600621". The record is from RNAcentral. Lineage: Eukaryota; Viridiplantae; Streptophyta; Magnoliopsida; Asterales; Asteraceae.